AACGCGUGGAAAACCUACCUCUUUGUGGGGAAUAACGCUCCGAAAGGAGUGGUAAUACCGCAUGAGACCAUUGGGAUGAAACCUAGGCAAGGAGAGGGUUCUGCGUCUGAUUAGCUAGUUGGUGGGGUAACGGCCUACCAAGGCGACGAUCAGUAGCCGGCCUGAGAGGGUGAUCGGCCACACUGGAACUGAGACACGGUCCAGACUCCUACGGGAGGCAGCAGUGGGGAAUUUUGCGCAAUGGGCGAAAGCCUGACGCAGCAACGCCGCGUGGGUGAUGAAGGUCUUCGGAUCGUAAAACCCUGUCGUCGGGGACGAAUGACGGUACCCGGAGAGGAAGCCCCGGCUAACUCUGUGCCAGCAGCCGCGGUAAUACAGAGGGGGCAAGCGUUAUUCGGAAUUAUUGGGCGUAAAGGGCGC
Molecule: ribosomal RNA, 420 nt
Filed under: uncultured soil bacterium
Lineage: Bacteria
Description: bacterial SSU rRNA
Rfam family: Bacterial small subunit ribosomal RNA
Source: RNAcentral